AGUGUCCUUUACUUUCUGCCCUAAACACACCUAAUAUUUGACUUUGGAAACUAAGCAGGAUCAAGCCUGGUUACUAGUUGGAUGGGAGGUCACCAAAGAACACCAGGGAUUGGCAUAC
RNAcentral lists this ribosomal RNA (118 nucleotides) under Pogona vitticeps (central bearded dragon). Lineage: Eukaryota; Metazoa; Chordata; Lepidosauria; Squamata; Agamidae. The record is from RNAcentral.